Non-coding RNA from Mycena latifolia, 95 nucleotides. NCBI's taxonomy places the organism in Eukaryota, Fungi, Basidiomycota, Agaricomycetes, Agaricales, Mycenaceae. The record is from the annotation of a GenBank genome assembly.
GACCUGGUAGCAUAAUGCUCGUGUAUCUGCAUACAGUUGUGGGCAUCUCACCUGAGUCUUUGCAGAAGAUCCCCGUUCGACUCGGGGUCAGGUCA